AGCAGCCGCGGUAAUUCCAGCUCCAAUAGCGUAUAUUAAAGUUGUUGCAGUUAAAAAGCUCGUAGUUGAAUUUUGGGCGUAGCUGAGCGGUCCGCCUUUGGGUGAGAACUGUUCGGCCGCGCCUUUCCUUGUGGGGAACCAGUAUGCGCUUCGCGGUGUGUGCUGGCAAUCCACAACUUUUACUUUGAAAAAAU
RNAcentral lists this ribosomal RNA (194 nucleotides) under uncultured Ambispora. Its description in RNAcentral is "partial 18S ribosomal RNA". It matches the Rfam family "Eukaryotic small subunit ribosomal RNA", at positions 569 to 766 of the family's 1831-position model. Lineage: Eukaryota; Fungi; Glomeromycota; Glomeromycetes; Archaeosporales; Ambisporaceae. The record is from RNAcentral.